RNAcentral lists this non-coding RNA (29 nucleotides) under Homo sapiens (human). The record is from RNAcentral. Lineage: Eukaryota; Metazoa; Chordata; Mammalia; Primates; Hominidae.
UGGUCCAGGUUCAGGUCUUGAACACAGUA